Long non-coding RNA from Equus caballus (horse), 4017 nucleotides. RefSeq lists it as uncharacterized. The record is from RefSeq and is a predicted model, not a curated record. NCBI's taxonomy places the organism in Eukaryota, Metazoa, Chordata, Mammalia, Perissodactyla, Equidae.
UGGACUUGGGACCAGACGUCCGAGGGUGUCCGAGGGCCUCUAAGCCCCAGGACUCGCCCCCGCCGAAUGCGAGACCCCGAGCGGCCCGGCCCCGAGCGGAGGGUCAGCGCCGGGUCAGACCCCGGGCCCGAGGACCUUCCGGGCGGAGGGCGUUUCAAGCAGCACAGGGUCCACCCACCACUGAGCAGAUGGGGCCCUGGUGUCCCACGACCUCUGCUGAGACCGGCAGCCCGCGCAGGGGUGGGACUGGGCUCCGGAGCCGCACCCUCCGCUUCGGUUCUUGAUUUCAUCGUGUUUGCUGAGGGGACUUGUUAGAGAUGCAAACCCCGGGCUCUGAGACCUCUGAAUCAGAAACUCUGUCUCAACAAGUCCCUCCGGCGAUGCUGAUGCUGAUGCGGGGCCAAGUGUAAGAAUCGCUGCUCCGAGGGCGUGGAUUUUCCAGAACACUGAACUCCUCCAACGCCGUCCCGUGACUGUCGCUCUCCGUCCCAGGCCAGCGGGACGGGCAGCCGCAGCAACGGGCUUCGGCCCUGGGCCCCGGGCAUCCAGGGGGAGUGGCCCGGCUGGAGGGAGUGGGCAGGGGGCGCCUUCUCCAAAAGGGACAUCUGUUUAAUACUACCCUUUAAGACAAGGUGGAGAGUGAUAGGGCGACACUGAAAAGAGGUUGGGCAGGCGGCUGAAACUGGGCGGUGAGGUGGGUGGAGACAGCAGGCGGAGGGUGGAGCCUGCUUCGAGCGAUAAAGUCCCACCCCCAGGCCUCCCCUUUGGGUGCACUCCGUGUCAUCAGAGUUCCAGAGCAGCGUCCUCAGGAACAGUGCUCCCUCGACAAAUUGACCGCGGAGAAAACUCCUGGAAGCAGUUUACCCAAACAGAUCGAUACGUAAUUUCCAAUGAGCAAUUUUCAAUUAGAUCCUCAGUUUGCCGUCUGAUCGCUCGCCUGGAACCAGCGGAGGCCUUCGCUCGGUCAGCGGCCGCGCACAGCUGACUCUACAGCCGACGGCAACCUGGGCGCUCGGUUCCAUCGCUGCGGCCAAACAGAGGCCUCGGGGCCGUCGAUCCUGACUGGAGCGAUUUUACCCACCAGGGGAAUCUGACAACGUCUGGAGACAUAUUUGGUUGGCACAACUGAGGGAUCUACUGGCAUCUAGUGGGGAGAGGCCAGGGAUGCUGCUAGACAUCCUACAAUGCACAGGCCAGACAGCCCAUAACAAAGAGUGCCCUGGCCCCAAUGUCCACAGGGCUGAGGCCACUGUGGGGGCUCCUCUGCCCGGCAGCCACGGUCACCUCCCCGACUGUCUCUCUGCCUCCAGCCUCACUCUGAAGGGCAUCUUUGCUCAGGACACACCUGUGCGCACACACACGCCCAUUCCCAGCACCCACCACCCGCAGUCCAGACUGCCAGGCUCUGCAAACCUGGGCCCCGUGCCCAUCCACUUCUGUUUCUCCACCUCACUCCAGUCCCUGACCUGCAGUCCCCAUUCCAGGGGACUCUCAAACUUGACUCUGCGUCAGAAUCUCCUGCACUUGUCAAAACACAGGUCACUGGGCUCACUCCCCAGAGUUCUGGACUGUGUGGGUCCACACCUGGCUGCAGAAUCUGCCUUUCUUCUGGAGGAUGCUGCUGCUGCUGCUGGUCUGGGGACCGUACCUUGAGAACCACUGUCCUACACCAACUUCCCUUCACCUCCCAUCCUGUCCCGAGGCUGUCGCUUCUUCCCAGGAUGCCCUUGUCCUCUGUCCCAUACACACCUGCGUUCCACCCUCGAGGUCCAGCUCGAUGCCACCAAGUUGUCUCUGACGCCCGAGUGGAAGUGAUGUCUCAGCCGCUGCCCUCAGCACUGGGCCCCUCUCCACGGCCACUGAUUUUCUUCUUUCACUGGACAGGCACUGGAUACAUACCUACCAGACAGGAGCAGCUGAACAAAGUUUAAUCAAAGGGACCAUUGACAAAGAUGUGGCAGGAAGAAGGGAAACUAACAACGUGGGCGAAGCGCCUCAGAGCCAGCAGCCGCUGGAAGCCACGACUCCUCCUGGGAGCAAGGUGGGAAGUGGCUCCUGGAAUCUGGAGAGGGUCGCCUGACAGGAGCUGUGGCCUGGGGAAGAGGAGCACAGACCCCGCCAGAGGGUGGGCUGGCAGGGCGGGGGCUGGGAGAAUAGACACCCUGGCCUCUCUCCCCUGCGCCCAGUGAUGUCCUGCGCAUGCCUCCCACUCCUGGACCCACCAGGAGAACAGAGGGCGGGUGGAGAAGGGCGGACAGAGGAGCUGGGGGGCAGACAGCCUCCAGCUCACGGCUUCUCUCCCUACUGCGAAAUCCCAGAGUGCAGAAUCCAUGUCGGACCACACCGGGAUCCACGGCAAGCCCAGGCCUUGGAAAAGAGGGUAGAUUAUUAAUCAAUGUUUGCUGAGUGAGUGUCGGCUGGUGAGCAUGUCUGGUGAUUAAUUUUCAGACUUUUUAUUGGAGCUGAACCACUCGAAGAAGCUUCUCAGAACAUUCCAAGAGCGUUCCUGGCUCCACAGGAAGACCUGCGGCCAAGCUCCCGCGACACAGCUGGGAACCAGCUCGUCGCCUUUCCCGCAGCAUCCACCACGCCCACUUACAUGUCACCUUGACUUUCGAAGCAAAGACUAGAGAGGAGGGACAGGUUUCCAGCAGUCGAAGAAAACACGGAGAAACAGGAUCAACGGCAGUGACACUGAUCUCUCGUGAGUGAAACCCAUAAAUGUGAACCAGUACAGAUGAUGAUUCCGAACCCGGGACACGGAGGGCAUUACCCAAGUUCGAGGCACAGAACAGAAACACCAGCUGCCCCGAGGGCUGAGGAUCCGACCUCUACUCAGACAUCUCGUCCCGACACCAGGAAGAAGGAAGAGAGGUGAUCUGUCACCCUGGUGAGUCCUCCCACACCGGCACAGCUGCAGCCAGGACGAUGGUGAGGGAGCCCCAGCACUCGGGGGCUGAAGCCCUUUCUCGACCAAAUGCAGCCUUUGUGAUACAGCGCAGUCUAACAGCACUUUUUACAGCACAUCUGGCAGUUGGAACAAUGUUACUUACAAAUGCUAUAAAUCCAUGUGCUAGCUUUUCCCAUGUUAUCAAAGAUUCCAGAUAAAUCACUAUGAACAUCACUCCUCUAAAUUAAUCCAGCUAUCAGUGUCUGCUAAACUUAGACAGUGAGUCAUCUGUCCACACUUUCCCAAAGUCUGGGUCAACUACACUUGACCAGGGCCUUAAAGAUUAAAGAUAAAAUGCCUACAACUAGUAUUAACAAUGACCUAGUUUAUUGAAAAAACCCAUUAAAAGCAUGUCAAAAACAAAGUCUGGUCUGAUAAUUUUACGUGUUUUGAAAAGAAUCCGUCUUUUAAGUGGCUAUAAAAAUUACUAGCACAACAUCAAAAAUUACAAAAUCUAGUUUUGACUGAAUUGCAUUUGUUCCUUACGUGGGGAUCUCCCCAAAUGAGGCCAAUGAGGCAGCUUCAGAAAAAUCUUCACAGUAAGGGCAGUAAUCUCAAGCACAUUAGUUACUAUCCCUUCAGUAAGGCUAAGAGGAAGCAGCCAAGAAAACUACAAAUUUACCUUUUUUUUUUAAAAAAAGAAAAAGGUUUAGAUCAUCAUUUUAACAUUUAUCUAAAUGUGAGUGAUGCAAUUUACGAGUGUAAAAACACAAAGUUUAAAGGCCAACAACCGAACAUUCAUUGUUUUGCUGAACAAAUAAACCACUAGACGAAUGAGCUAUAAGAGCAGCUUGGUUUUACUAAUGAAAAGGCAGCGGGUCUCAAGCACAUGGUCUCUCCAACACGGUGUUAACCGCUGUCAUUCACUGAUUCAACACGAAACAUGUGCAAGUGGAGGCUGUAAUCCCAGCGUGAUACUGUGGUGACAGGCACAGGCGCGGCCACUCAGUGCAGGGGCCGCAGCCCCAUGUCGGGUCUGCACAUGGAGCCCCCAGCACUGAACAGGCCGCCGGCACCACGGCCCACAUCUGACCACCGGGGGUUACACACAGGGGAGCAGUGUGUCG